GAAAGGGCAUUUUUAGCACCUGCAGCCAUCAAGUUACCAACAGCCAUUAAGUUACCUGCAGCCUUUAAGUUAUCAGUAACCAACAGUCAGAGCUGAAAGACCCUGCAUCAGCUCCAUUGAGGGGAAAGAGACUGCAAAUUCAGAAACCCUUUUAACCUGAAGACUACAAACUGUAAAGCAUUGUAAAAUACCAUGGUGCUUUCGGAUGUUUCUCAACCCACUCCCUGGCAGACCAUGAUCAAGGUUGAAGCAAUACUCCUGUGCAGAAGUCUUCAUACAGAUGAUUGAUGGGCUGCACCCUGGAGAUUCCUUUAUAAUCCCAAAGCCAUGAAUGCAAUUUUUGAAACCCGUCUUGAAAAAUCUACAGUAAACAAUUUGGAGCUGAGACAUAGCAGGUGAGAAGCAUAUUGCUCCUCUGUUCUAAACUGUUUUCCAAGUUGGUUUUCCUUUAGUAAAAGCAGGUACUGAGCUUUGUUAAAUGAUUCAAUUUUAUGUGCAGGUAGGCCCUAAUAUUCAACCUUCUGCAUUUUGGUAACUUAACUGCUGCUUGUUACUAGUUACCUUAUUUAAAUCUGUUUCCUGUAAAUAGCCACUAUUGUCAUCACUUCUGGAUAUAUUACAUUGCUUAUUAUUUUAUACUGGGAAUAGUUUUCAAAACAACUACCCAAGAAUUGGGUACAAAAUGGACUGAUUUGAAGCAAAUCAAUGAUUUCAUUGAUUUAAAUCACCAGAAAAAGUAAGCAUUAAUUUGCCGGUUUCAAUCAGUCUUGUGUAAUGCAUUUCUUUCCUGAGCACUCAUGCAUAUUUACU
Molecule: long non-coding RNA, 810 nt
Organism: Salvator merianae (Argentine black and white tegu)
Lineage: Eukaryota; Metazoa; Chordata; Lepidosauria; Squamata; Teiidae
Source: Ensembl